Molecule: ribosomal RNA, 467 nt
Filed under: uncultured bacterium
Lineage: Bacteria
Description: partial 16S ribosomal RNA
Rfam family: Bacterial small subunit ribosomal RNA
Source: RNAcentral
GAUGAACGCUGGCGGCGUGCUUAACACAUGCAAGUCGAACGGAAAGGCCCAAGCUUGCUUGGGUACUCGAGUGGCGAACGGGUGAGUAACACGUGGGUGAUCUGCCCUGCACUUCGGGAUAAGCCUGGGAAACUGGGUCUAAUACCGGAUAGGACCACUUCUUUGAUGUUGUGGUGGAAAGUUUUUUCGGUGUGGGAUGAGCUCGCGGCCUAUCAGCUUGUUGGUGGGGUAAUGGCCUACCAAGGCGUCGACGGGUAGCCGGCCUGAGAGGGUGUACGGCCACAUUGGGACUGAGAUACGGCCCAGACUCCUACGGGAGGCAGCAGUGGGGAAUAUUGCACAAUGGGCGCAAGCCUGAUGCAGCGACGCCGCGUGGGGGAUGACGGCCUUCGGGUUGUAAACUCCUUUCGCUAGGGACGAAGCGUUUUGUGACGGUACCUGGAGAAGAAGCACCGGCUAACUACGUG